UGUCAGUACUGCUGGAAAAAUAAAUAAAUAAUAAGAAAUAAAAAUUUUAACGAGAAAAAAAAUUUAAAACACUGGGGACCCAGUGGGAAGCCAAAAUGUAGAAUGCAUUAAGGCUGACUGGUUUCUGGUAUUCAUCAAUCUUUUCUAUUAAAGUAAAAUAUCCAAACAUAUUAAAUUUGAAUUAUUCAUAAAUGUUAAGUGUCUGUGAACUUUGUCCUUUUUUCUGUACAUUCGAAUGAUUUUUACUUAUAAAAUAAUUGUAAUUGUAUUUUGUAAAUUGUUGCAAAAAGGCCUUGCUUUUUUUAAGGUGAAUAUUUUUGUUCAGGAACCAGGGAGGUCUGCAGCAAAUGAAAUAUGAAGUUUUUUUUUUUUUUUUUUUUUUUUUUAAACACAGUUGGUUGCCAGUUACUGCGUGAAUUUUCUGGCGCUGGGACAAUGACCUUCCCUGCAUCCACAGGAGCCCUCUGAGGGAGCUGGCCACUCUGCCUCCUAGUCACCGUGAGGCUUGUUAUUAAGCUACUGUGUAUGUCUGUACCUUUUGUAACAUGGACCUGCUGUCCACAAGGUCUUCAGCAUUGCUUACAAACUGGCACGUAAACAUAAUACAUGCAAAACUUGCAUCCUUUGCAGUUCCAGGAAGAGAGAGAAUGGAAAUGUCCAGAGAUCUGUUCUUGAUUUUGUGUUUUUAUCAUGGACUUUGUCUACUGAGUACUAUUUUAAACAAGUUUUGGUUUUUGUUUCAUUUUUGAACCUUGAUCUAGAGCUUGAUGAAUAGAUUCCUGUUCUCUUCACUAAGUCUUGACGUGGAGUGGAGUUGAUAACUGACAGUGGCGUCUACCUAUUUCUGUUGAGAUAAAAAACAGGGAACUUGGUGUGCUUUUGUUUUAAAGUGUUCAUAUGAAGGGGAAAUAUGUGCAAGAAUAAAUGAUUCGGGUGGGAAAGAAGUUGAGCUGUGAAUUCUCCUUUCUUCAUGAAACUUACAAAUUGUUUUCAUAUAGCAUUUUCCAUGAAAGUUUGGAAUAUUUAUGCCAAGAAUGAGCAAGUUGCUAAAACAGUCUCCCUUUUCAUGUCAUAAAAAAGUUGACAUCGUCUAACCAGUCCUUCAUUUGUCAGUGCCAUUAUAGCAAGGGUCCAUGUGGGUGACAAAAAGUGGAUGGUGUGCCCAGGAAACUGGGCAAGAUGGUCACAAGGCUCUUCUGAGCUGGUGCUAAGAGGUUCCUCAAGUCAACACACAAAUUUCAAUUUCAAGGACCAUAACUGUCCUAUAUAUUUUUUUCUUACUCUGUCUAUUAUUCAAAGCCAUCCCUGAUACAGUUUUUGUUGGGGAUGAGGUGAACUGUGUGACAGUGGGGAAAGGGAUGGAAUUGAAACAGCAUCAGUGCAAGCUUUGGGACAGUCUUUAAAAAAUGAUAAUACACCAUCCAAAUGAUUUACCAAUAGGUCUUCUAAAAAAAAAAGCAAAAUUAAUGUUUGUUUGUUAAUUAGUGUAUACUAAAGUUCAUUACAUUUACUUAAGUUUAUUUAAUUAAAUUAUCUAUUUGCUAAUUAUUUAUGAAAUUAUUACUAAUUACUAAAUAACUAAAUUAUUUAC
RNAcentral lists this long non-coding RNA (1591 nucleotides) under Homo sapiens (human). RNAcentral describes it as "HSALNT0186974". The record is from RNAcentral. Lineage: Eukaryota; Metazoa; Chordata; Mammalia; Primates; Hominidae.